UACAGAGGUCUCAAGCGUUGUUCGGAUUCAUUGGGCGUAAAGGGUGCGUAGGUGGCGCCGUAAGUCGGGUGUGAAAUUUCGGAGCUUAACUCCGAAACUGCAUUCGAUACUGCGGUGCCUGAGGACUGGAGAGGAGACUGGAAUUCAUGGUGUAGCAGUGAAAUGCGUAGAGAUCACGAGGAAGACCAGUGGCGAAGGCGGGUCUCUGGACAGUUCCUGACACUGAGGCACGAAGGCCAGGGGAGCAAACGGG
RNAcentral lists this ribosomal RNA (253 nucleotides) under uncultured bacterium. RNAcentral's name for it is "partial 16S ribosomal RNA". It matches the Rfam family "Bacterial small subunit ribosomal RNA", at positions 524 to 776 of the family's 1533-position model. The record is from RNAcentral.